RNAcentral lists this ribosomal RNA (253 nucleotides) under uncultured bacterium. Its description in RNAcentral is "partial 16S ribosomal RNA". It matches the Rfam family "Bacterial small subunit ribosomal RNA", at positions 524 to 776 of the family's 1533-position model. The record is from RNAcentral.
GACAGAGGGUGCAACCGUUGUUCGGAAUUACUGGGCGUAAAGCGCGUGUAGGCGGCUAUGUAAGUCGGGCGUGAAAUCCCACGGCUCAACCGUGGAAGUGCACCCGAAACUGCGUAGCUAGAGUCCUGGAGAGGAAGGUGGAAUGCUUGGUGUAGAGGUGAAAUUCGUAGAUAUCAAGCGGAACACCGGUGGCGAAGGCGGCCUUCUGGACAGUGACUGACGCUGAGACGCGAAAGCGUGGGGAGCAAACAGG